RNAcentral lists this ribosomal RNA (447 nucleotides) under uncultured bacterium. Its description in RNAcentral is "bacterial SSU rRNA". It matches the Rfam family "Bacterial small subunit ribosomal RNA", at positions 355 to 825 of the family's 1533-position model. The record is from RNAcentral.
UGGGGAAUCUUGGACAAUGGGCGCAAGCCUGAUCCAGCCAUGCCGCGUGAGUGACGAAGGCCUUAGGGUUGUAAAGCUCUUUUGCCGGGGACGAUAAUGACGGUACCCGGAGAAUAAGUCCCGGCUAACUUCGUGCCAGCAGCCGCGGUAAUACGAAGGGGACUAGCGUUGUUCGGAAUUACUGGGCGUAAAGCGCACGUAGGCGGAUUUGUCAGUCAGGGGUGAAAUCCCGGGGCUCAACCUCGGAACUGCCUUUGAUACAGCAAGUCUUGAGUCCGAUAGAGGUGGGUGGAAUUCCUAGUGUAGAGGUGAAAUUCGUAGAUAUUAGGAAGAACACCAGUGGCGAAGGCGGCCAACUGGCUCGAUACUGACGCUGAGGUGCGAAAGCGUGGGGAGCAAACAGGAUUAGAUACCCUUGUAGUCCCUGAGCGGGCUGGCAAGGCGCAU